CGUAAAGCGCAUGCAGGUGGUUUGUUAAGUCAGAUGUGAAAGCCCCGGGGCUCAACCUCGGAAUUGCAUUUGAAACUGGCAGACUAGAGUACUGUAGAGGGGGUAGAAUUUCAGGUGUAGCGGUGAAAUGCGUAGAGAUCUGAAGGAAUACCGGUGGCGAAGGCGGCCCCCCUGGACAGAUACUGACACUCAGAUGCGAAAGCGUGGGGAGCAAACAGGAUUAGAUACCCUGGUAG
This 236-nucleotide ribosomal RNA is filed under the name uncultured bacterium. RNAcentral's name for it is "partial 16S ribosomal RNA". It matches the Rfam family "Bacterial small subunit ribosomal RNA", at positions 559 to 793 of the family's 1533-position model. The record is from RNAcentral.